This 481-nucleotide ribosomal RNA is filed under the name uncultured bacterium. RNAcentral's name for it is "partial 16S ribosomal RNA". It matches the Rfam family "Bacterial small subunit ribosomal RNA", at positions 29 to 507 of the family's 1533-position model. The record is from RNAcentral.
AGCGAACGCUGGCGGCAGGCCUAACACAUGCAAGUCGAACGAACCUUUCGGGGUUAGUGGCGGACGGGUGAGUAACACGUGGGUAACCUACCUAUAAGACUGGGAUAACUUCGGGAAACCGGAGCUAAUACCGGAUAAUAUUUCGAACCGCAUGGUUCGAUAGUGAAAGAUGGCUCUGCUAUCACUUAUAGAUGGACCUGCGCCGUAUUAGCUAGUUGGUAAGGUAACGGCUUACCAAGGCAACGAUACGUAGCCGACCUGAGAGGGUGAUCGGCCACACUGGAACUGAGACACGGUCCAGACUCCUACGGGAGGCAGCAGUAGGGAAUCUUCCGCAAUGGGCGAAAGCCUGACGGAGCAACGCCGCGUGAGUGAUGAAGGUCUUCGGAUCGUAAAACUCUGUUAUUAGGGAAGAAAAAACGUGUAAGUAACUGUGCACGUCUUGACGGUACCUAAUCAGAAAGCCACGGCUAACUACGUG